This 1612-nucleotide long non-coding RNA is filed under the name Coturnix japonica (Japanese quail). RNAcentral's name for it is "lncRNA (ENSCJPG00005006364.1)". The record is from RNAcentral. Lineage: Eukaryota; Metazoa; Chordata; Aves; Galliformes; Phasianidae.
AUGGACAUUUACUUUAAGGGAGCUGCAGUAGAUGCACCCACCCACCAGUUGACAGCAGUGGGUCCGAUUCAUACACACAUGCCUUGCUGCUCUUGCUGCAGUGCAAAUGACGACGUCUCCACGAUGGGACAAGCCGUGCUUUCUGUGCAUUGGGUUUGCCAGCAGAGCCUCACUGAUGGUUCUCUUUCUGUUGUUCCUUUAGAGCUGUGGAAUGCUGUGACCAGUCCCAGUGCCCCGCAGCCCAAGGCACGUCGCCGUCCAGAUCAUCUCCAUCCAAAGGAAGUUUGUUCACAAAAGCCUAGGAAAUGCAUUGUAGCUGUGUCUCAUCAUAUGGGUGUCAGUGAAAAGCUCUUUGGCCUUGACAUCUUUUUGGAGUCAUGCAUAGCCUUUGGGAACGCGUUCGUAGGGUCUGGCAUCCAGCAGACCUGCAGUGAGCAGGCAUCAUGGCUUAUGCAUAGAGAGCAAAGCGAUGCGGUUACGUCGAUUUUUAUACACACCUGGCUUUUGAGUCAUGGAUUUCAAAACCACAAAUGGGGAUGUGCAUUUCCUGAAGAGAGGAAGAAAGAAACGCCUCAAACACCAUCCAAACAAGUGCAGUGUGCUGAUGAGAAUAUGCCUAGGGGCCUUGCUGGUGAGGUGAUGGCAGGAGGUCUGCUUGAGCUCUGCUUGCCAUUCAUGCUGGGGAAAUACAGAAGUGCUCUCAGGCCCUGAAGGCUUUUGCCUGGGAGGUUGCAGCACGAGCUCCCCAGUCCCUGCAGUGCUUCCCCAUAGCACUCGUUCCACAUUUCUGCUCCAACUAAAGCCAUGCUGGAAGUGAUGGAUCUUCCUUCAUUCCUUCAGAUGUAUAAUUUACCAUCUCUUACCAGCGUGCCAGCCUUGUUUGUAUUGAUAAAUUAGUGUUCUCUGUGUACAGCCUGCAGAUGAUUCUGCUUCCCGAGUACGGUGCUGCUAAAUAUACCUGUUUCUGAUUAAGUGCAUUUGAAUGUGUGAGUUUGGUUAAUAAGAUACACCUUUCACAGAUUCCUUUGUUAGCUCGUAAAGGCUGCGUGUUCUGAUUUAUAGUGCCAAAAGGGGUAAAACUGAUAUUAAAAGCAUUAAUUAGUCUUGGUUGGCUGCACAAAGAAUAGAGUUGGUGUGAGCCAGCUUUUGAUUUUUGAUUUGUGGGCCCUUGGUUUUGCCUAAGCUUGUUACAGAGUUGUAUCUCUGCCUUUUUCGUGCUAGAUUGCAUAAUUAGAGUUUAGUGUGAAGAACAGUGAUUGGGCUUGAAGAGAGCACGAGCCCUGUGCAGUUAUAAGCAAUGAAGUUGUAAAGCAGUUGGAUGGAACCUGACAUAUGCUUUUAAUAGAGAAAUGUUCUUUUUAACCCGUGGAUAUGAUAAAUUAUUUAGCAUUGUUAGAUUUCCAGUAACAACCCAGAGGAUUUAUUGUGCCUUGGUGCAAUACAUGUACUGUUGGUAAAGCUUAGAAAUGAUGUAAAAUCAUGCAAUUAUAGAGUCAUUAGGGUUCAAAAAGAUUACUAAGGCCAUCUAGUCCAACCUAUCAAUCCAUCCCCACUAUAAUCAUUGAAAGGAAAAGGAGGGAAGGGAAGGGAAGGGAAGGGAAGGGAAGGGAAG